GACGAACGCUGGCGGCGUGCUUAACACAUGCAAGUCGAACGGAAAGGCCCUGCUUUUGUGGGGUGCUCGAGUGGCGAACGGGUGAGUAACACGUGAGUAACCUGCCCUUGACUUUGGGAUAACUUCAGGAAACUGGGGCUAAUACCGGAUAGGAGCUCCUGCUGCAUGGUGGGGGUUGGAAAGUUUCGGCGGUUGGGGAUGGACUCGCGGCUUAUCAGCUUGUUGGUGGGGUAGUGGCUUACCAAGGCUUUGACGGGUAGCCGGCCUGAGAGGGUGACCGGCCACAUUGGGACUGAGAUACGGCCCAGACUCCUACGGGAGGCAGCAGUGGGGAAUAUUGCACAAUGGGCGGAAGCCGGAUGCAGCAACGCCGCGUGCGGGAUGACGGCCUUCGGGUUGUAAACCGCUUUCGCCUGUGACGAAGCGUGAGUGACGGGAAUGGGUAAAGAAGCACCGGCUAACUACGU
This 467-nucleotide ribosomal RNA is filed under the name uncultured bacterium. Its description in RNAcentral is "partial 16S ribosomal RNA". It matches the Rfam family "Bacterial small subunit ribosomal RNA", at positions 28 to 506 of the family's 1533-position model. The record is from RNAcentral.